CAACCCUUAAGCCUCGCUUGGUAUUGGGCGACGCGGUCCGCCGCGCGCCUCAAAUCGACCGGCUGGGUCUUCUGUCCCCUAAGCGUUGUGGAAACUAUUCGCUAAAGGGUGCUCGGGAGGCUACGCCGUAAAACAACCCCAUUUCUAA
This 148-nucleotide unclassified non-coding RNA is filed under the name uncultured Dothideomycetes. Its description in RNAcentral is "sequence contains ITS2". The record is from RNAcentral. Lineage: Eukaryota; Fungi; Ascomycota; Dothideomycetes.